CAAUGAAGGUGAACGCAGGUCUGACGGAGGGAGUCGUCCUUUCGGCAAGACCGGCCCGUCCCAUAUCGCUUGCGUCGAUGUGGAUGGAGCAUGAGCGCAAAUGUUGGUACCCGAAAGAUGGUGAACUAUGCCCGAGUAGGACGAAGCCAGAGGAAACUCUGGUGGAAGUCCGUAGCGAUUC
This 181-nucleotide ribosomal RNA is filed under the name Bonellia sp. RG-2015-2. RNAcentral describes it as "partial 28S rRNA". It matches the Rfam family "Eukaryotic large subunit ribosomal RNA", at positions 716 to 886 of the family's 3401-position model. The record is from RNAcentral. Lineage: Eukaryota; Metazoa; Annelida; Polychaeta; Echiuroidea; Bonelliidae.